UGGACAGAUUAUUGUAUUUGACUGUAUUCACGGCGUGAAAUAGGGGAUUACACUGUUUUUAAAACGGAAAGUUAAUCAAUUAACAUAAUAGACUCUU
Molecule: microRNA precursor, 97 nt
Filed under: Nicotiana sylvestris (wood tobacco)
Lineage: Eukaryota; Viridiplantae; Streptophyta; Magnoliopsida; Solanales; Solanaceae
Also listed under: 1 other name
Description: MIR6152 microRNA precursor family
Rfam family: MIR6152 microRNA precursor family
Source: Rfam by way of RNAcentral